GAUGAACGCUGGCGGCGUGCCUAAUACAUGCAAGUCGAGCGAACGGACGAGAAGCUUGCUUCUCUGAUGUUAGCGGCGGACGGGUGAGUAACACGUGGAUAACCUACCUAUAAGACUGGGAUAACUUCGGGAAACCGGAGCUAAUACCGGAUAAUAUUUUGAACCGCAUGGUUCAAAAGUGAAAGACGGUCUUGCUGUCACUUAUAGAUGGAUCCGCGCUGCAUUAGCUAGUUGGUAAGGUAACGGCUUACCAAGGCAACGAUGCAUAGCCGACCUGAGAGGGUGAUCGGCCACACUGGAACUGAGACACGGUCCAGACUCCUACGGGAGGCAGCAGUAAGGAAUCUUCCGCAAUGGGCGAAAGCCUGACGGAGCAACGCCGCGUGAGUGAUGAAGGUCUUCGGAUCGUAAAACUCUGUUAUUAGGGAAGAACAUAUGUGUAAGUAACUGUGCACAUCUUGACGGUACCUAAUCAGAAAGCCACGGCUAACUACGU
RNAcentral lists this ribosomal RNA (496 nucleotides) under uncultured bacterium. RNAcentral describes it as "partial 16S ribosomal RNA". It matches the Rfam family "Bacterial small subunit ribosomal RNA", at positions 28 to 506 of the family's 1533-position model. The record is from RNAcentral.